AGUGAACGCUGGCGGUAGGCCUAACACAUGCAAGUCGAACGGCAGCACAGUAAGAGCUUGCUCUUACGGGUGGCGAGUGGCGGACGGGUGAGGAAUACAUCGGAAUCUACUUUUUCGUGGGGGAUAACGUAGGGAAACUUACGCUAAUAACGCAUACGACCUACGGGUGAAAGCAGGGGAUCUUCGGACCUUGCGCGAUUGAAUGAGCCGAUGUCGGAUUAGCUAGUUGGCGGGGUAAAGGCCCACCAAGGCGACGAUCCGUAGCUGGUCUGAGAGGAUGAUCAGCCACACUGGAACUGAGACACGGUCCAGACUCCUACGGGAGGCAGCAGUGGGGAAUAUUGGACAAUGGGCGCAAGCCUGAUCCAGCCAUACCGCGUGGGUGAAGAAGGCCUUCGGGUUGUAAAGCCCUUUUGUUGGGAAAGAAAAGCAGCAUGUUAAUACCCCGCUGUUCUGACGGUACCCAAAGAAUAAGCACCGGCUAACUUCGUG
This 492-nucleotide ribosomal RNA is filed under the name uncultured bacterium. RNAcentral describes it as "partial 16S ribosomal RNA". It matches the Rfam family "Bacterial small subunit ribosomal RNA", at positions 29 to 507 of the family's 1533-position model. The record is from RNAcentral.